GCGUCUAUGGUGUAGCGGUAACACAUCAGUCUUCCAAACUGAGUUCGCCGGUUCGAUCCCGGCUAGACGCUC
This 72-nucleotide transfer RNA is filed under the name Mycobacterium phage Phabba. RNAcentral describes it as "tRNA-Gly". It matches the Rfam family "tRNA". Rfam says of the family: Transfer RNA (tRNA) molecules are approximately 80 nucleotides in length. Their secondary structure includes four short double-helical elements and three loops (D, anti-codon, and T loops). The record is from RNAcentral. Lineage: Duplodnaviria; Heunggongvirae; Uroviricota; Caudoviricetes.